AAUAAAAUAGUUAAAUUAACUAAAAUAACAUUAAUUUGUCAAAUUAAAAUAAAAACUUUAUUC
RNAcentral lists this transfer RNA (63 nucleotides) under Aclerda takahashii. Its description in RNAcentral is "tRNA-Asp". The record is from RNAcentral. Lineage: Eukaryota; Metazoa; Arthropoda; Insecta; Hemiptera; Aclerdidae.